GCAAGUCGAGCGAAUCUGAUGGGAGCUUGCUCCCUGAUGAUUAGCGGCGGACGGGUGAGUAACACGUGGGUAACCUGCCUGUAAGACUGGGAUAACUCCGGGAAACCGGGGCUAAUACCGGAUAACUUUUUUCUUCGCAUGAAGGAGAAUUGAAAGAUGGCCUCCGCUAUCACUUACAGAUGGACCCGCGGCGCAUUAGCUAGUUGGUGAGGUAACGGCUCACCAAGGCGACGAUGCGUAGCCGACUUGAGAGGGUGAUCGGCCACACUGGGACUGAGACACGGCCCAGACUCCUACGGGAGGCAGCAGUAGGGAAUCUUCCGCAAUGGACGAAAGUCUGACGGAGCAACGCCGCGUGAGUGAUGAAGGUUUUCGGAUCGUAAAACUCUGUUGUUAGGGAAGAACAAGUAUCGUUCGAAUAGGGCGGUACCUUGACGGUACCUAACCAGAAAGCCACGGCUAACUACGUGCCAGCAGCCGCGGUAAUACGUAGGUGGCAAGCGUUGUCCGGAAUUAUUGGGCGUAAAGCGCGCGCAGGCGGUUUCUUAAGUCUGAUGUGAAAUCUUGCGGCUCAACCGCAAGCGGCCAUUGGAAACUGGGAGACUUGAGUGCAGAAGAGGAGAGUGCGAUUCCACGUGUAGCGGUGAAAUGCGUAGAGAUGUGGAGGAACACCAGUGGCGAAGGCGACUCUCUGGUCUGUAACUGACGCUGAGGCGCGAAAGCGUGGGGAGCGAACAGGAUUAGAUACCCUGGUAGUCCACGCCGUAAACGAUGAGUGCUAAGUGUUAGAGGGUUUCCGCCCUUUAGUGCUGCAGCUAACGCAUUAAGCACUCCGCCUGGGGAGUACGGCCGCAAGGCUGAAACUCAAAGGAAUUGACGGGGGCCCGCACAAGCGGUGGAGCAUGUGGUUUAAUUCGAAGCAACGCGAAGAAUCUUACCAGGCCUUGACAUCCUCUUGACUCCCUAGAGAUAGGGAUUUCCCUCCGGGACAGGAGUGACAGCGGUGCAUGGUUGUCGUCAGUCGUGCCUGAAAUGUGGGUUAAUCCCGGACGAGCGCAACCUUGACUUUAUUGCCACAUUCAUUC
RNAcentral lists this ribosomal RNA (1085 nucleotides) under bacterium. Its description in RNAcentral is "bacterial SSU rRNA". It matches the Rfam family "Bacterial small subunit ribosomal RNA", at positions 57 to 1129 of the family's 1533-position model. The record is from RNAcentral.